RNAcentral lists this long non-coding RNA (1789 nucleotides) under Takifugu rubripes (torafugu). RNAcentral's name for it is "lncRNA (ENSTRUG00000026495.1)". The record is from RNAcentral. Lineage: Eukaryota; Metazoa; Chordata; Actinopteri; Tetraodontiformes; Tetraodontidae.
UGGAAUGCUGGAGGGUAAAUCUCUGCUUUCCUGGAAGCUGCUCAAGCUUUAUCAGAAGCGGCUGUGACAAUACGCCAGCUGAUGGGCCAACCUAUAAGCACCGAUCAGAGAACAAAACAGCCUUCCUGGAAGAGGCAAUCAGCAGGAGCCGGACCCUUCCUGGAAGACCACUGCGGGUGGCUCCUCGCGGGGCACAUUUCAAGCCCGCUAAUAUUUUUCCACCGACUCCAGCUGACAGCGUUGACAUUGGCUCAGAAACCUUUAUUAAGCCGUGUGAUUUGCCGUCAAUCACAGCGCUGCUGGAUGUGCUUUGUGGGGGCAAACGGCCUCCUUUGUGUGGACGUUCUGAAGCCUGGAAUUUGGAGAACCCUCCCCACCCCCUCCCCCCACGGCGGGGCCUCGGUCGUGUUCGUAGCCGCUGUUGUGUUUGGCCCGGGCCUCUGUUGACAACCGCCGAGCCGGACGCGGAAAGUCACUGCCCCAAAAAAGUGAAUCAUGGUGGAAAGACUUUGAAUGAGUGUGAGAUUCACGAGAGGAGAGAAGGACACCAGCGAAAUAUUCCAGAGCAGCGACGGGGAACAGAACGUGUUACAAGCUUGUGUUCCUGCCAGACUAGUGGCCAGAGCGAGGGGGGGGGCAGUCUUUAUAAAAGACAUAUUCACAUUACAGGUGAGGUCCACCGCUGUAACACACCUAAGAACUGGGAGAAGACGAAGACCGACGGUUGUUUGGCCUCCGGGGAUCAUGGGAACGGACGAGCCCUCGUCAAACACACACACAAAAAAAGCAUUUCCGAUCAAAUCCGCCUCUUCCGCAGCCUUUUCUCUCUUUUGUUUGAGGAUCUUUGGAGCUAAUCGGGGUUUCGGAUGAAAGGAGGAAGGUCAGAGCGGCGCCAGACCUCUUUAGCGUUACGGCCGUGUCCGCCCCCGGGUCCCCGUGACCGAGGGACACACACAUGGGGACAGAAGGACACGUUUGCCAGGACGCUGCGCAGGACAGCGAGGACGCUCAGGUGUAAAGGCAGCGGAGGAGCUCCUCCUCCGACGGCCCGGGUCUGUAUUCACAGGCGCCGUCUGGUGGGACCGUUUCCCUGAAGUUUAUCACCAGGAUCACACGCUGCUGUAUAACAGUAUGUCUCCUCCCCCAGGCCGGCCCCCACUUCCCUUUUCCUAAUCCCAUUUCCCUCAUUUCUCUCCUGGUUGGAUCCUUCCCGCUCCUCCACAGAUUCACGCUUCUGCUGACAGUUCUGGAGUCGGUCUGGAUUUAAACUACAGAUCUGCUGCUCUUGGUCCCCUGACAACGCGUUAGUCUCAGAGGAGGAGGAGGAGGAGGAGGAGGAGGGGGAGGGGGAGGAGAUGCUCCCUAAAGGAGGAGGAGGAGGAGAUGCUCCCUAGAGGAGGAGGAGGAGGUGGAGAUGCUCCCUAAAGGAGGAGGAGAUGCUCCCUAGAGGAGGAGGAGAGGGGAGGAGAUGCUCCCUAAAGGAGGAGGAGGGGGGGGGGGGGGAGAUGCUCCCUAAAGGAGGAGGAGGAGGAGGUGGAGAUGCUCCCUAAAGGAGGAGGAGGAGGUGGAGAUGCUCCCUAAAGGAGGAGGAGGAGGGGGAGGAGAUGCUCCCUAAAGGAGGAGGAGGAGGAGGUGGAGAUGCUCCCUAGAGGAGGAGGAGGAGGAGGAGGUGGAGAUGCUCCCUAGAGGAGGAGGAGGAGGAGGAGGUGGAGAUGCUCCCUAGAGGAGGAGGAGGAGGAGGAGGAGGUGGAGAUGCUCCCUAAAGGAGGAGGAGAUGCUCCCUAGAGGA